This 949-nucleotide ribosomal RNA is filed under the name Escherichia coli. RNAcentral's name for it is "partial 23S ribosomal RNA". It matches the Rfam family "Bacterial large subunit ribosomal RNA", at positions 244 to 1230 of the family's 2925-position model. Lineage: Bacteria; Pseudomonadati; Pseudomonadota; Gammaproteobacteria; Enterobacterales; Enterobacteriaceae. The record is from RNAcentral.
UAGCGGCGAGCGAACGGGGAGCAGCCCAGAGCCUGAAUCAGUGUGUGUGUUAGUGGAAGCGUCUGGAAAGGCGCGCGAUACAGGGUGACAGCCCCGUACACAAAAAUGCACAUGCUGUGAGCUCGAUGAGUAGGGCGGGACACGUGGUAUCCUGUCUGAAUAUGGGGGGACCAUCCUCCAAGGCUAAAUACUCCUGACUGACCGAUAGUGAACCAGUACCGUGAGGGAAAGGCGAAAAGAACCCCGGCGAGGGGAGUGAAAAAGAACCUGAAACCGUGUACGUACAAGCAGUGGGAGCACAGAGCAAUCUGUGUGACUGCGUACCUUUUGUAUAAUGGGUCAGCGACUUAUAUUCUGUAGCAAGGUUAACCGAAUAGGGGAGCCGAAGGGAAACCGAGUCUUAACUGGGCGUUAAGUUGCAGGGUAUAGACCCGAAACCCGGUGAUCUAGCCAUGGGCAGGUUGAAGGUUGGGUAACACUAACUGGAGGACCGAACCGACUAAUGUUGAAAAAUUAGCGGAUGACUUGUGGCUGGGGGUGAAAGGCCAAUCAAACCGGGAGAUAGCUGGUUCUCCCCGAAAGCUAUUUAGGUAGCGCCUCGUGAAUUCAUCUCCGGGGGUAGAGCACUGUUUCGGCAAGGGGGUCAUCCCGACUUACCAACCCGAUGCAAACUGCGAAUACCGGAGAAUGUUAUCACGGGAGACACACGGCGGGUGCUAACGUCCGUCGUGAAGAGGGAAACAACCCAGACCGCCAGCUAAGGUCCCAAAGUCAUGGUUAAGUGGGAAACGAUGUGGGAAGGCCCAGACAGCCAGGAUGUUGGCUUAGAAGCAGCCAUCAUUUAAAGAAAGCGUAAUAGCUCACUGGUCGAGUCGGCCUGCGCGGAAGAUGUAACGGGGCUAAACCAUGCACCGAAGCUGCGGCAGCGACGCUUAUGCGUUGUUGGGUA